This 321-nucleotide ribosomal RNA is filed under the name Triticum aestivum (bread wheat). RNAcentral describes it as "partial small subunit ribosomal RNA". Lineage: Eukaryota; Viridiplantae; Streptophyta; Magnoliopsida; Poales; Poaceae. The record is from RNAcentral.
GAAACUACUUCUCUCAAUGUGAAUAAGAAUCGUACGCGUGUUGUCAAUAACUAUUUCAAGCAAUGUGGUCGGUUUGAUUUGGGGUUUAAUGGACCGGCUUAUACUUGGACAAAUAGGCGGUUCUCCUUUAGAACUAUCUUCGAAAGGCUUGAUCGUUGUCUUGCCAAUGCAGAAUGGUGUGUUAUGUUUCCUAAUACUAAUGUUUUCAAUUUCAAUCAUUCAUUCACUGAGUGAUCAUGCGCCUCCACUGAUUCUUAGUUUAGUAGACCUAAACUACACUUUAAAUUUGAAAAUUGGUGGACUUUUGAGGAAGAUUUCUAG